Molecule: ribosomal RNA, 505 nt
Filed under: uncultured bacterium
Lineage: Bacteria
Description: partial 16S ribosomal RNA
Rfam family: Bacterial small subunit ribosomal RNA
Source: RNAcentral
GACGAACGCUGGCGGCGUGCCUAAUACAUGCAAGUAGAACGCACAGUUUAUACCGUAGCUUGCUCCACCAUAGACUGUGAGUUGCGAACGGGUGAGUAACGCGUAGGUAACCUGCCUGGUAGCGGGGGAUAACUAUUGGAAACGCUAGCUAAUACCGCAUAAUAUUGAUUAUUGCAUGAUAAUUGAUUGAAAGAUGCUAUUGCAUCACUACCAGAUGGACCUGCGUUGUAUUAGCUAGUAGGUGAGGUAACGGCUCACCUAGGCGACGAUACAUAGCCGAGCUGAGAGGGUGAUCGGCCACGCGGGGACUGAGACACGGCCCAGACUCCUACGGGAGGCAGCAGUAGGGAAUCUUCGGCGAUGGACGAAAGUCUGACCGAGCAACGCCGCGUGAGUGAAGAAGGUUGUCGGAUCGUAAAGCUCUGUUGUAAGAGAAGAACGGGUGUGAGAGUGGAAAGUUCACACUGUGACGGUAUCUGACCAGAAAGGGACGGCUAACUACGUG